Paramuricea clavata is the source of this 374-nucleotide non-coding RNA. The record is from the annotation of a GenBank genome assembly. NCBI's taxonomy places the organism in Eukaryota, Metazoa, Cnidaria, Anthozoa, Malacalcyonacea, Plexauridae.
GAGGGGGGGGGGUGAUUUACUGCUGGCAGGGAAUUUUUUUUCUGGGAUCGUUCUGUGCAAGAUAUUUUUUUUAUCACCAUCACCAUGUACGAUUUUUUUUUGCCACACUUUCUUUCGCAGCAUUUUUUUUUUCAAUAUCUUAUACUAUUUAGAUUAUAGUUAACGUUGAGUUUUUUAGCUUAAUGCAUUGCUCUUAAUAAUACAUUUUGCUAUGAGGUAUAACAUUUGGUUCAGUGCCUUUUUUAAGGAUGUGCAACUGGAAAAGUUCCAGUCGGAAAGUCUGUAUACAGGGCCGUAGCUAGCAUGUAUAGUUGGGGGAGGGGGGGGGGGCAUGGUGUAGGCCAAAAAUUUCCGAAUGACGAAAAUAAUUUCCG